Molecule: ribosomal RNA, 253 nt
Filed under: uncultured bacterium
Lineage: Bacteria
Description: partial 16S ribosomal RNA
Rfam family: Bacterial small subunit ribosomal RNA
Source: RNAcentral
UACGGGGGGUGCGAGCGUUGUCCGGAAUCACUGGGCGUAAAGGGCGCGUAGGCGGUCCGGUAAGUCCGCUGUGAAAGUCGGGGGCUUAACCCUCGGAUGCCGGUGGAUACUGUCGGGCUUGAGUACGGAAGAGGCGAGUGGAAUUCCUGGUGUAGCGGUGAAAUGCGCAGAUAUCAGGAGGAACACCAAUUGCGAAGGCAGCUCGCUGGGACGUUACUGACGCUGAGGCACGAAAGCGUGGGGAGCAAACAGG